CGAAGGGACUUUGCCGGAAAGUCCAUUCCCGUUCAAGCCCAAGUACUCUAAACUCUGAAUCUCCGAGUAUGACUCUGGUAUAGAGCCAGAAAAAUAGUUCCCACCGAGAUGAAGAUGCUUGAGAUUCUUCAGGUGCACAAGCUCCACUGGCAAUGGACCCGAGAAAUUAUUGUUGUAACAGUCAAGGAUCUCAAGCUGAGUCAUGCCAAGAGUGAUCUCUCCAGGGAAAUUGCCAACGAAGGCGUUAUUGGAAAUGUUGAAAAUUUUAAGAGACGUGAGGUCUGCCAUUUCCAAAGGGAGCCUUCCGGUGAGAUUAUGUGAAGAGAGGGUGAGGUUGACGAGCUUGUUCAAUAGCCCAAUUUCUGGAGGAAUAUAACCGGUGAGAAGACAAUGAGACGAGAAGUUAAGAGAAACCACCAGUGAUUCCUCAUCGCAAGUAACUCCAGAGAAGGAGCAGUGGACAGAGGAAGACAGCGAGAGUUUCCAGUCGUCCAGGCCACUGCCAUGUGGUCCGAGCAUGGAGGAUUUCAGCUUCAACAGUAUCUCUAAAUCACUAUAGCCAGAACAAGCAGAUGCCAGCAGAAGAACAAGAAGAACAGCGAGUGAAAUUCUCAUUUCCAUCCUCUCAAUGCCCUCCUUCUUUCAGAUGAUAAUUGAUAAAAUGGAAGGUUGAGUUAUUUCUGUGCUUGCUGUUCAAUCAAGCAGGGAGAUGCAAGCUAUAUUGAGUAGCUUCUUGAAAAACGAAUCAAAGACUCGCAGUAUCUAACUAGAGCGAAUCAACAAAAAGCGAAGAAAAGAAGCGAAGUGCAUGAGGUUUUGUGUCCGC
RNAcentral lists this unclassified non-coding RNA (826 nucleotides) under Hevea brasiliensis (rubber tree). The record is from RNAcentral. Lineage: Eukaryota; Viridiplantae; Streptophyta; Magnoliopsida; Malpighiales; Euphorbiaceae.